GAAUGAGUAUAUUAUGACAAAUACUAGAAGAACUACGAAAGAGAAGCACAAACUGCCAAAUUACAGAACCGAUGCCUGCUCCAUCCUGUAGCGGAACCACUAGCUCUAUACUUUAGGACUUGAAAUGGGGCUCAUCUGAACUGAGAUGAUCUGUACAUAUUGGAAAUGCAUCCUCAUGUUAAGACUUUGGGUACCAUCUUUGUGUGACAAUCUUACCAAAGGACUCUCUUGCUCAGCACUCAAGAAGAUCUGGUGGGAGCUGCAGACUGGAAACUAGGCACCUCAGUCCAACCUCUUGCAAGUACAGACUCACCUCCUUGCCUGAUUUCUCUACCAAUGUCCAUGAGCUUCUCAUUUCAAGACUGCUGAGCAAAGUUCAGACUCACAUGAAUCACCUGUAGGCUGACAACAGAGAAGCCCCGG
Odocoileus virginianus texanus is the source of this 423-nucleotide non-coding RNA. The record is from RefSeq and is a predicted model, not a curated record. Lineage: Eukaryota; Metazoa; Chordata; Mammalia; Artiodactyla; Cervidae.